UGCAAGUCGAGCGGGGGAAAAGUAGCUUGCUACUGGACCUAGCGGCGGACGGGUGAGUAAUGCUUAGGAAUCUGCCUAUUAGUGGGGGACAACAUUCCGAAAGGAAUGCUAAUACCGCAUACGUCCUACGGGAGAAAGCAGGGGACCUUCGGGCCUUGCGCUAAUAGAUGAGCCUAAGUCGGAUUAGCUAGUUGGUGGGGUAAAGGCCUACCAAGGCGACGAUCUGUAGCGGGUCUGAGAGGAUGAUCCGCCACACUGGGACUGAGACACGGCCCAGACUCCUACGGGAGGCAGCAGUGGGGAAUAUUGGACAAUGGGGGGAACCCUGAUCCAGCCAUGCCGCGUGUGUGAAGAAGGCCUUAUGGUUGUAAAGCACUUUAAGCGAGGAGGAGGCUACUAGUAUUAAUACUACUGGAUAGUGGACGUUACUCGCAGAAUAAGCACCGGCUAACUCUGUGCCAGCAGCCGCGGUAAU
RNAcentral lists this ribosomal RNA (475 nucleotides) under uncultured bacterium. RNAcentral's name for it is "bacterial SSU rRNA". It matches the Rfam family "Bacterial small subunit ribosomal RNA", at positions 56 to 524 of the family's 1533-position model. The record is from RNAcentral.